Molecule: ribosomal RNA, 301 nt
Filed under: uncultured bacterium
Lineage: Bacteria
Description: partial 16S ribosomal RNA
Rfam family: Bacterial small subunit ribosomal RNA
Source: RNAcentral
CAGUCGCCACGGUAAUACGAAGGGUGCAAGCGUUACUCGGAAUUACUGGGCGUAAAGCGUGCGUAGGUGGUGGUUUAAGUCCGUUGUGAAAGCCCUGGGCUCAACCUGGGAAUUGCAGUGGAUACUGGGUCACUAGAGUGUGGUAGAGGAUAGUGGAAUUUCCGGUGUAGCAGUGAAAUGCGUAGAGAUCGGAAGGAACAUCUGUGGCGAAGGCGACUAUCUGGGCAAACACUGACACUGAGGCACGAAAGCGUGGGGAGCAAACAGGAUUAGAGACCCGGGUAGUCCCUGUCUCUUAUAC